AUGGGGUUCGACAAGGAGGCGAGCUCCUCCUCCUCCGGGCUCGACGCGGCGGCGCUGCUGCCGAAGCACGGCGGCGCGGGCGUCGGCGCGCGCCUGUCGUCGCAGCCCAAGACCUUCGCCAACGUCUUCAUCGCGGUGGUCGGGUCGGGCGUGCUGGGCCUCCCCUACACCUUCUCCCGCACGGGCUGGGCGGCGGGCUCCAUCCUGCUCCUCGCCGUGGCCGGGCUCACCUUCCACUGCAUGAUGCUGCUCGUCGCCUGCCGCCGCCGCCUCGCCGACGAGCACCCCAAGAUCGCCUCCUUCGGCGACCUGGGCGCGGCCGUGUACGGCGCCGCGGGCCGCCACACCGUUGACGCCAUGCUCGUGCUCAGCCAGGCAAGCUUCUGCGUCGGCUACCUCAUCUUCAUCGCCAACACCUUGGCGCACCUCCACCCAAUCGGGGACCCGUCGGCGUCCUCCCCUCUCCUCACGGCCAAGGCGCUCUUCAUCUGGGUCAUGCUUCCGUUCCAGCUCGGGCUCAACUCCAUCAAGACGCUCACGCUCCUCGCGCCGCUCAGCAUCUUCGCCGACGUCGUGGAUCUCGGCGCCAUGGGCGUCGUGCUUGGCCAGGACGUGUCCACGUGGCUGUCCGAAAAGCCCCCCGUGUUCGCCUUCGGGGGGCCCGCCGAGCUCCUGUACGGCCUCGGCGUCGCCGUCUACGCGUUCGAGGGCAUCGGCAUGGUCCUGCCGCUGGAGGCGGAGGCCGCGGACAAGCGCAAGUUCGGCGGCACGCUCGGGCUGUCCAUGGUGUUCAUCGCCGUCAUGUACGGGCUGUUCGGCGCCAUGGGCUACCUCGCCUUCGGCGCGUCCACGCGGGACAUCAUCACCACCAACCUCGGCGCCGGGUGGCUCUCGGUGGCCGUGCAGCUCGGCCUCUGCAUCAACCUCUUCUUCACCAUGCCGGUGAUGAUGAACCCGGUCUACGAGGUCGCUGAGCGCCUGCUCUACGGGAAGCGGUACGCCUGGUGGCUGCGCUGGAUCCUGGUCGUGUUCGUGGGGCUCAUGGCGAUGCUCGUGCCCAACUUCGCCGACUUCCUCUCGCUCGUCGGGAGCAGCGUCUGCGUCCUGCUCGGAUUCGUGCUGCCGGCCGCAUUCCACAUGAAGGUGCUGGGCGCCGAUAUCGGGUGGCCUGCGCUCGUCGCUGAUGUGGCUGUCGUCGUCGUCGGCCUGGCGCUCUCGGCGUCCGGGACAUGGACGUCGCUCGCGCAGAUGUUUGGUGCUCCCAACGCGUAA
This 1272-nucleotide ribosomal RNA is filed under the name Triticum aestivum (bread wheat). Its description in RNAcentral is "partial small subunit ribosomal RNA". The record is from RNAcentral. Lineage: Eukaryota; Viridiplantae; Streptophyta; Magnoliopsida; Poales; Poaceae.